UCGGGCGUAGACGGCACGCAACCUUGCCAAGGUUGGGGUCGAGGGUUCGAAUCCCUUCGCCCGCUCCA
This 68-nucleotide transfer RNA is filed under the name bacterium. Its description in RNAcentral is "tRNA-Gly". It matches the Rfam family "tRNA". Rfam says of the family: Transfer RNA (tRNA) molecules are approximately 80 nucleotides in length. Their secondary structure includes four short double-helical elements and three loops (D, anti-codon, and T loops). The record is from RNAcentral.